GUGCCAGCAGCCGCGGUAAUACGAAGGGGUGCAAGCGUUACUCGGAAUUACUGGGCGUAAAGCGUGCGUAGUGGUUGUUUAAGUCUGUUGUGAAAGCCCUGGGCUCAACCUGGGAACUGCAGUGGAAACUGGACAACUAGAGUGUGGUAGAGGGUAGCGGAAUUCCUGGUGUACGAGUGAAAUGCGGUAGAGAUCGGGAGGAACAUCCAUGGCGAAGGCAGCUACCUGGACCAACACUGACACUGAGGCACGACAAGCGUGGGGAGCAAACAGGAUUAGAUACCCUGGUAGUCC
RNAcentral lists this ribosomal RNA (294 nucleotides) under uncultured microorganism. RNAcentral describes it as "partial 16S ribosomal RNA". It matches the Rfam family "Bacterial small subunit ribosomal RNA", at positions 505 to 796 of the family's 1533-position model. The record is from RNAcentral.